GACUUGAGCUUUAUGUUUUCUUUUAAUAAAAGGACUUCAGCUAUACUUUUCUAAAGAUUUAAAGGACUUAAGCUUGAUCUUUCUUAUAAUAUAAAUGACUAGACCUAUUUGUUUUGAAUCAUUAAAAGGACUUUGGCUUUAUGAUUUUUUUUAAAAGAAAGGACUUGAGAUAUAAUAUUCUAAUAGUAAAUAGGUUGUGAGCUAUAUGUUUAUGAGAUUUUAUAGGUCUUGAGCUCCAUGAUUUUAAGGAAAAAAAGGACUUGAGUUACAUGUUUACAAGAAUUGAAAGGUCUUGGGCUAUGUGUUUUAUUUAUAUAAAGGAUUUGUAAUAAAAGGUCUUGAGCUAUACUUCUUUAAUGAUAAAAGAUCUGGAGCUAUAUGUUUCUUAAAAUAUAAAGGACUUGAGUUACAUGUUUACAAGAAUUGAAAGGUCUUGAGCUAUGUGCUUUAUUUAUAAAAAGGACUUGAGCUAUAUGUUUUUAAAAUAUAAAGGACUUGAGCUACAUGUUUAUGAGAAUUGAAAGGACUAUAUGAUUUUAAUAUUUCAAAGGACUUGAGCUGUAUGUUUCUCAUAAUAUAAAGGACUUGAUCUAUAUGUUUCUCACAAUAUAAAGGACUUGAGCUAUGAUUUUGAUUAAAAAAGAUCUAGCUACAGGCGGUUUCCCAGUUAGACUUCAGCCCGUAGUUUUUGGUCCAAGCUUUACUCAGUGACUGGCCUAAUGUAAAGUGUAGUAAUCCAGUGUUAUGUUACAGGUAAACUGUGACACAGCAGAGCAAAGGACUGGCAGAUGGGGAGCACUGAUAUCCACUUCUCUAUAUAGAACCCAACAAAGGAUGCCUGGGAUAAGAUAACGGAUGCGGAACCUGUGUACAGAGAAAGCAGAAGACGUGAGCAACAUCAGUCAUGCUAUAGAAGAUUAUGAGGAUCAACAAAAAACUACCCUAUUAGCUAUAAUACAGUUUAGCCCAGAACUUGGAAGACAUCAAAAGAAAUUAUAAAAUGUCUAAACCUACUGACAAUGGAAUGCAGUAAGAUAUUUAGUUGUUCAAUCGAAUAUUUAUAUGGAGUAUUUAAAACCUUAAAAAAAAAUUAUUUCAUGGCUAAUUAUAUGUUUUUACAAUUACUGAGAUUUAGGUAUAAAAGUAUAACAAUUGUCAAGACGACAUUCUUUAAAUUCUUUCGACAUCUCCGAAGUUCUGGGCUAAACUGAGGAGAAAUCUUUUUGUUUCAUUAUCUCUCAUUUAUAAAUGAUGUCAAUGAUAAUAAGAAAGGAUCCGCUUAAUUUACAAUUACGUACAUGUUAUUCCUUGCUCCUACAAUGGAUAGACAAGCCGAUCCGUAAACGCAGUUCCUUGUAAAGAGUAUAAAAUUAACCAACAAUGCUAUUUUCGAGUCAAAAAUAAACUGAUCAAUGACAGCUUU
Long non-coding RNA from Eurytemora carolleeae, 1423 nucleotides. RefSeq lists it as uncharacterized. NCBI's taxonomy places the organism in Eukaryota, Metazoa, Arthropoda, Copepoda, Calanoida, Temoridae. The record is from RefSeq and is a predicted model, not a curated record. The transcript has 5 exons.